Molecule: ribosomal RNA, 433 nt
Filed under: uncultured bacterium
Lineage: Bacteria
Description: partial 16S ribosomal RNA
Rfam family: Bacterial small subunit ribosomal RNA
Source: RNAcentral
AACGAACGCUGGCGGCAUGCCUAACACAUGCAAGUCGAACGAGACCUUCGGGUCUAGUGGCGCACGGGCGCGUAACGCGUGGUAACCUGCCCUUAGGUUCGGAAUAACUCCCCGAAAGGGGUGCUAAUACCGGAUAAUGUCUUCGGACCAAAGAUUUAUCGCCUUUGGAUGGGCCCGCGUUGGAUUAGCUUGUUGGUAGGGUAAAAGCAUACCAAGGCGACGAUCCAUAGCUGGUCUGAGAGGAUGAUCAGCCACACUGGGACUGAGACACGGCCUAGAAUCCUACGGGAGGCAGCAGUGGGGAAUAUUGGAAAAUGGGCGAAAGCCUGAUCCAGCAAUGCCGCGUGAGUGAUGAAGGCCUUAGGGUUGUAAAGCUCUUUUAACCGGGAUGAUAAUGACAGUACCGGGAGAAUAAGCUCCGGCUAACUACGUG